RNAcentral lists this ribosomal RNA (253 nucleotides) under uncultured prokaryote. Its description in RNAcentral is "partial 16S ribosomal RNA". It matches the Rfam family "Bacterial small subunit ribosomal RNA", at positions 524 to 776 of the family's 1533-position model. The record is from RNAcentral.
GACAGAGGGUGCAAACGUUGUUCGGAAUUACUGGGCGUAAAGCGUGUGUAGGCGGUUUGUUAAGUCAGACGUGAAAGCCCCGGGCUCAACCCGGGAAGUGCGCUUGAUACUGGCAAACUUGAGUGUCGGAGAGGUUGGUAGAAUUCUCGGUGUAGAGGUGAAAUUCGUAGAUAUCGAGAGGAAUACCGGCGGCGAAGGCGGCCAACUGGACGAACACUGACGCUGAGACACGAAAGCGUGGGGAGCAAACAGG